Molecule: long non-coding RNA, 206 nt
Filed under: Lathyrus oleraceus (garden pea)
Lineage: Eukaryota; Viridiplantae; Streptophyta; Magnoliopsida; Fabales; Fabaceae
Description: Pisum sativum (pea) long non-coding RNA (PSAT_LNC037052)
Source: RNAcentral
UUGCCUAGCGCAUCUGAUAGGGCUUGUUUUCUUUUUCAUUUAUUUUGAAAGGAGAUAUCCCCGGUAUGUCGUUUGUUGAUGAUGGAUUCAUUUCCGGUUUCCCUAGCCAGGGUAGUUCCCUCGAGAGCAUUUACAACUUGUCCCUAGUAGGGUUGCCAGAUCACAGUUUGAUGUUUGUAUCUCCUCCGAGUCUGAAGAUUUCUUCU